Molecule: ribosomal RNA, 253 nt
Filed under: uncultured bacterium
Lineage: Bacteria
Description: partial 16S ribosomal RNA
Rfam family: Bacterial small subunit ribosomal RNA
Source: RNAcentral
UACGGAGGGUGCAGGCGUUAUCCGGAUUCACUGGGUUUAAAGGGUGCGUAGGAGGGCAGGUAAGUCAGUGGUGAAAUCUCCAAGCUUAACUUGGAAACUGCCGUUGAUACUAUCUGUCUUGAAUACCGUGGAGGUGAGCGGAAUAUGUCAUGUAGCGGUGAAAUGCUUAGAUAUGACAUAGAACACCAAUUGCGAAGGCAGCUCGCUACACGAAUAUUGACUCUGAGGCACGAAAGCGUGGGGAUCAAACAGG